GCCAAUGUGGUGUAGUGGUUUGAGCACUGGACUAUGACUUCGGAGACUGGGGUUUGAAUCUCCACUUGGUCA
Non-coding RNA from Phrynosoma platyrhinos (Desert horned lizard), 72 nucleotides. Lineage: Eukaryota; Metazoa; Chordata; Lepidosauria; Squamata; Phrynosomatidae. The record is from the annotation of a GenBank genome assembly.